GCUCCCUUGAUGUAACACGGGAGACCACUCUGUGAGUUUGUUAUGAUUGGAGUUCAAGGCGGGAAGGCUAGUGAGGCGAAAAACAAUAGCAGCUAAUUGGUGGUAGCCCGACGUGACUUGACACACCGUAACAAAUCAGUUGUCACACAAGCAUCAAGCACACCAGUCAAUCGCCUAGGGAAGCACAGGGCUUGGGUAGAAGAACAGUUACCGAUCCUUUCUUGGUUACAACGGCAAACCACGUGGCGCACUGCAUGAAAGUCACUGGCUCAUAACAGCGCAGUUGUAAGCCGAACAUACGGACAUCGACGUACAGUCUUCAUCAAGCUGUGCCCCGAGGAAACUUGGACUUACACACGCGUAUAUUCACUCUUCAUUCAUACAAAAUAAAUUCAAGAUGAGUUCGGGAAGAGGCGAUACUCCGGCGGAGAAAGUGGCACUUAAAAAGACAAUCACCCUCUUCCAGGGGGUAGCGAUCAUCGUCGGUAUAAUCAUUGGCUCCGGUAUUUUUGUGUCACCUGUUGGAAUCCUUAUGCACACUAAGUCGGUGGGAUUUUCUUUGAUAAUGUGGGCUAUAUGUGGAGUUUACAACACCCUGUGCGCGGUCUGUUAUGCAGAGUUGGGUGCAGCGAUGCCUCAGUCUGGCGGGGAGUAUGUUUACAUCAAAAGGGCCUUUGGUGAUUAUCCAGCAUUUGUGUGUCUGUGGAUUAACUUCCUGUUGAUUUGCCCAGUUGGUAUUGCGGCACUGAGUUUGAUAUGCAGUUUGUAUAUUCUUCAACCAAUAUUCCCUGAUUGCGAUGUACCUGAGCUUCCCCAGCGACUGUUUGCAGUGUGUAUCGUGUGUCUGCUGAUCGGCAUCAACAUCCGCAAUGUCAAAUGGGCGACCCGGGUGCAGGUCGUCAUCACCACCUGCAAACUGGUGGCACUCGCCAUCAUCAUCGUCAUCGGAUUCAUCUACUUUGGGAAAGAUAUGAAGACUCAAGGAGAGGUGGAGAGCUUCCAGAACUCUUUCGAAGACAGUGACUACAGCGCAGGGGCCAUCGCACUCUCCUUCUACUCGGGCUUCUGGGCAUACAGCGGAUGGAGUUACCUGAACUUUUUAACAGAGGAACUUGUGGACCCAAAUCGCAACCUGCCUCGAGCCAUCAUGAUCUCCAUGGUGCUUGUAAUCUCCAUCUACCUGGUCACCAACAUCGCAUACCUCGCUGUGCUCUCCCCAACAUCGAUGCUCAAGUCGACUGCUGUGGCUGUGACGUUUGCGGGUCAGACAAUGGGUGUGAUGUCAUGGCUGAUGCCCAUCCUCAUAGCAGUCUCCGUGAUGGGAACCAUGAAUGGAACAGCCCUUUCAAUGUCGAGACUGUUCUUCAUCGGUGCCCAGAACAACCAUAUGCCACACUUCAUGGGUAUGAUCCAGUACAAGUACCUGACCCCGGCCUCAUCACUGUUUGUCAUUCUGGCUCUGGUCACAUGUUUCCAGUCGUCCAAUGAUAUUUGGUAUUUGAUCGAGAUGGAGGGCUUCGGGUUUGCCACGGUACUCACAGUGGUGUUUGCCGGACAGGCUUAUCUCAGAUACAAGGAGCCGGACAUGAAGAGACCCAUCAAGGUACCAGUUGCGCUGCCAAUAGCCCUGAGUGUCAUCAGUUUGGCCAUCGUGGUGCUCACAUUCUACCAGAAGCCCUCUGAAAGCUUGAUGGCACUGGGCCUCAUUCUCUUUGGCUCAGUCUUCUAUGUGAUUGGCAACAGGUGGCAGAACAAACCGCGGGAGCUGCAGACCAAGAUCAAUUCUAUCAACAAGUUCUUUCAAAGACUGUUCCUGGUCAUACCACCAGACAACCCAGAUGAAGUGGAAUGGGAGUAACCUCCCCUUCUGUGAACCGAGAUUUGGAGUAAUCUCCCUUUUUAUGAGAUUGUACCAAGAGUAGCCUCCCCUGCUGUGUAAAUGAACCGGGCCCACUUUGGUCUACAGGCAGUCAUAUCAGCUGCAUCUUUGGUUUCUCUUGGAGGAAGAUAACCGUUCAAAAUCUGAAGUGUAGGUUGAAGAUAAUGUUCAUUAAUUUGCACAUGUUUUGCAUCAGUUCAAUUAGUUAAACGUUACAUUUUGUGUUGAAGAUAUCAGACUAAAACAAUUCAAGAAAUACACAGCAGAAUAUGUGGGGUAACUGACCCAAGGGUCACUCGGUGCUAGUAGAAGCUUUAGUUCUGGUACCAAGCUUUCAUUGGAUCAACCAACAGAAUACUUCUUGUGAAGCUCAAAGUAAACCUCAGAUAUAAAUUUCACGGAGCUUUACAAUUUAUGUAGUGUGUAGACCCACAUAACAUCUCUCCUGCUAUUGACAUCAAUGGUUAAAUUGUUUAUUGGCAUUCUACGGGGGUUAAUCUAGACCUAGAGGCAGACAUUCGGCCCUAAAUCUGCAUCAAAUGUCAGUAGAUAUCCAAAUGGAAAUAAUACAAUCCCAGUUAUAACAACUGCGAUGGCUUGGUUAAGGUGACUUGUGCUUAUUGGAUUAGAGGACCAAUAAAGAGGUGAGGCUUAUUUGUACGUCAUUGCAUUCAAUUCAGCGCUGAAGUAGUUCGAACUAUUUUUACCAAUUGGCCGCCAUGUUGUUUAGAGUGCUACAUAAACAACCCCAGUUCUGAAAUUUGACAGUGUGAGUUAUGGAUCUUUGAUGUUCCUUUCACUGACUAUGUCAUGUUUAAAAAGUUGAAUAUUUCCAUGUUUUUUCUGUGCCUUAAUUGAUUUGUGAGCAUUUCAAGUGAGCUCUAGUGUGUCACUGUGACUGUGGCAUCAGGGUGAGUGUGUUUGGCAUUUGUACUGAGAGUGUGUGACAACUGGGAACAUUGCAAGGACAGUCUGUUGUCACCAUGCCUCAGUUGUAUUGUGCACACAUCCCUGUGAUUCCAGUAACCACCACUGUCCAUGUUCCUUCACAAUGUUCCUGUUCCUGUUCUUCCAUGUUGUUUUAAUUCACCUUUGAAUCUUUUAUGACCAUAUAUUUAUUUUUUCUUAGCUUUUAACAUGUUUGAAUCAUGUCCAUUCUUUUAAUUAGAAAACAUUGACGUCGUCUCAUACAUACAUAGCAAACAUGUAGAAUUUAGGCCCCAAAAAAUAACAGUCUUGUUCUCAGGCGCCGCCUGCAUCAUCGUAAAGUCUGCGGCAUGUUUCGUUUUUAUUUCCAUUUUAAAAAGAAAAAAAAUUUUCCUAAUACUCAAAAACAAAGCAAUCCAAUAUAGCACACAGUUACUUCAUUUUACAUGCACUCUGCUUUCCUGUGCAUCUCGUGUUUAUGGUUAUGAUGGCAAUGGGAGUUUGUAUGCUACUUUAUGUAGGGAGUCCGUUUCCCAGGUUGAUGGUACACAACUGUUUGUUUGGUUACAUAUUAGCUUAAACAAGCAAACAUUAUAAAAAAAGACCCCAUGGUCAUUGCCUGAGAACCAAUUCUUUCUUUUUUUUUAAGCCUUAUUGAAUAACUGUACAAUUGCAAUGGUUUAAGUGUAGCUUUUCAUCAGCUUACAGUCAUGUACCUGUACUAUCCGUGACAUCAAAACCGUCCGUUAUUGUUGGUACUGGAAAUCAAUCCCUAGAAAACUUAUCGGCUUACUUUAUGUUUGGCCCUGCAUUUGUCUCGCCUGUUAAAGUACUGGGGUUGAUUGACAAUAGGCUUUCUGCCACACUUAUAUCGUGGAAGGAGGCCUAGUGUGAAAUGAUUUGCUGAAUUUUAAUCUGAUUAGAAUGAUUCCAUGACAUGGCUUUUAGUGUAAGGUACUGGUUCUAGUCGUAUAACCCGAUCAAAAUUCAGUAUGGCAGGGUCCACUUGCACAAGAUGAUCUUAACACUAUGACGAUCUUAACACUACGACGAUCUUAACACUAUGACGAUCUUAACACUACGACGAUCUUAACACUAUGACAAUCUUAACACUACGACGAUCUUAACACUAUGAUGAUCUUAACACUACGACGAUCUUAACACUACGACGAUCUUAACACUACGACGAUCUUAACCUCCACAGUUGGACAUGUACGUAUGACAGUCGAGGUGCUGUGAUUGAUUGGUGAGAGUGGGUUUUGGUAUUCCAAAAUGUUUUACAUCAUAACGACUAGUGAUCAAGAUACAUUUCUACCUGACUUCACUGCCCCAUAAUGCUUCAGUGUUGCCAUGACGACACAGUCACCAUGUCUACUGUUGUCAUCAUCACUGAAGGUUAUAAUUUCCAUCCCAGUGGCAUUGAGAGAGUUGACCUAGUCAGUGUGAACAGGAAAUUAUGCUCCAGAUGUAUAUGAAAUGGAUAGGGGUGGCACUGGAAUUCACUGUACAGAGUUCAAAUCCCUGAUUCAUCCUCAUGUUGCUUUUAGGGUUGUCAGCACCAUAUAUAUGUACUUGUGGGCUUCACCAAAGUGGUAAACAUUUGAACCCUGCCUCACAUCAUGGGACAGAACUGAAAUAUGACAAGAUGGCAUUAAACCAAAUGCACUCGCUCACUCACUCACUCACCAACCCUCGAACCCACUAUUUCAUUCCUCACUCACCCACUCACUCACUCACCAACCCUCCCACCCACUAUUUCAUUCCUCACUCACCCACUCACUCACCAACCCUCCCACCCACUAUUUCAUUCCUCACUCACCCACUCACUCACUCACUCACCAACCCUCCCACCCACUAUUUCAUUCCUCACUCACUCACUCACUCACUCACUCACCAACCCUCCCACCCACUAUUUCAUUGCUCACUCACCCACUCACUCACUCACUCACCAACCCUCCCACCCACUAUUUCAUUCCUCACCCACUCACUCACUCACCAACCCUCCCACCCACUAUUUCAUUCCUCACCCACUCACCAACCCUCCCACCCACUAUUUCAUUCCUCACUCACUCACCAACCCUCUCACCCACUAUUUCAUUCCUCACUCACUCACCAACCCUCCCACCCACUAUUUCAUUCCUCACUCACCCACUCAAAUUCUGCCAAAAACUAACAAGCACAGUAUUCAUUAAGGUUAUAUUUUUAUGAAAAAAAGCCAGUCAUUUGUUUAUUAUUUGAAAGUUGUCAGAUUUGGUCAUAGUGGUACAAUAAUCCCAUUAAAACACUGAAUCUGUAAGAAAUCUGUGAUAGGAUGAAACUAUUUGUAGAUAGUUUGAAGACUUCGACUAAUUAUUUCCUCAAGUCUUUGCUAAAGUUUUCAGAUGUGAAAUAGUAAUAAAAGAUGCUGUAUAUUAUAGAAAACAAGAAAAUAUUAGACAUCUUUUUUCUUUCUUGUUUAUUCCAUCAAUUCAAGAGGUUUUCAGGAAGAUAUCUUCAGCUCGACCCUGACAACAUCUAUAUAAUUGAUGUGGCUUCCCACCCAUUCACCAUGUUGGCAUCAUGACAAAGGAGACUGAAAGAAGAUGUCAGAUUGUCUUGGUACUACAUUAGACUGUACCACUGCUUACUCUAACUGCCUUUCAGAUAUGUCACCACUAACUGGUCAAAGCAGUGUUGGGGGCACGGGUGGCCCAGUCGUCUAAGGCGCUGCGAUUCGCUGUGCAGAUUUGCGUCCCUUGGGCACACCAGAAACCUAUGAUUGUGGGUUCGAAUCCCGGUUCGCCCUGAUUAUGUUUCUAGGUUUGUCAGCACCAUACCCGUGCUCGUGGGUUUCACCGAAGUGGUAAACGUCUGAGACCUGCAUCAUUUCGGGCUUUCCUCCCACAUUAAGCUGACACGCCGUGAUAUAACUGGAAUACUGUUAAAAGCGGCGUUAAACCCAACUCACUCACUCACUCACUCAAAGCAGUGUUAAACCAACCCCACUCUUGUGUUAUCCUAGGAACUUAUUGUAUUUGCGUGUAUAUUUUAGAGAGGACUUAUUUUAGGCCAUGGUGUUACUUGUGAAUAUUAUUAUUUCCAACUGCGUGCCAUAGUGUCUUUAGCACCUGUGCAUCUUGUAGGGACGUGCCUUUACUGUCAUGUAUGGCUAUGUAUGUAUUAUUUUAUGUUGUGUGUAUAUUUGCAGCUUGUUGGAGUAUGGCUUGGGUUAUCCAUUGCCUUGACAUCCUUCUUGAUGGCUGCUUCUAGCAUUGUCUAGUGCUGGUGAUGACAUCGUGACACAAUGACAGUAUUUUGCUUGUAUGUUAUUUGCCGUCCCAUAGGGAUCCAUUGGUAGAAUGGGCUCCAAUAGCACAAUGCUUGUAGAAACAACUAAAAUCAGACCGUGACUUGUGUCAUAUACCUGGUUGGUGUGAAGACUGCUCAUGAUAUCAACCUCUGGUUUGUCUGGUCAAGAUUCAGUUAUUUAAAGGCUGUUGUGAUGUAGUUGUCAUUUGUUCACUUUGUUUUAUACCCUAUUCAGUCGUUUGCUCAAUCGUUAUCCUGUAUGACUUUGUGAAAGUUUCGUAACCAACUCAACUGAGUUAUGGUAGAUAGAAUAGGCUGACAGUUGUCUGUGGUGUCACAACUCUUUGUGUAGUAUGUUGUACAGUUAUGUCCCUUAGUUGGGCCAGGAUCAACUAGUUGUGGGAUCAAAUCCCAAAUUCUUUCAAAUUGCAAUCCCUGAUGUUUCAGCACUAUACCUGCACUCAUGGGGUUAUGUCCCUUCGUCGUGCCAGGAUAGGCUAAUUGUGGGAUCAAAUCCCAGUUUUUUCCAAAUUAUGAUGCUUGGUUUCUGAGCACUACACUGUACUCAUGGGGUUAUGUCCCCUGGUUGUUCCUGGAUCAGCUAAUUGUGGGAUCAAAUCCAAGAUUCUUUGGAAUUAUUAUGUUUCUUGUUUUGCCAGCACGUAAUUGUACUAGUGGCUCUGACGAACCAAUUCCUAUAUUUUUUUAACCUAAUGUGUCAUUUGGUAUUUUUUUUAAACACACACACAAGGAGCUGUCACACUGUCAGAUGACCUAAAAACUGUUCACAGCAGCUUUCAACUCAACUCAUUCACUCACUCACUCUCUCCACAGUUAAGUCAUUCAUGAAAAUACCACAGCUCAGUUGGAUUGUAUUCAUGUCUAGUUCAGUGGAUAGCAACAGCAGAAAUAUAUAUUGAUAGGUAUCCUACACCAUGUCUACAAACAGCCAUAUAAGAAUACCUUGUUUAUCUCCAUGUCAAAAAUUUGUGCUGGCUCUUUUAUGUAAGAAAUAAAUACUUGUAUAUGAUCAUGACAAAAUCACUUCAACACCAUCAUAACAGUAAAAACGCUUCCAUGUAGCAUCAAGUUCAGAAGGAACCUACUUCAUAUCACUGCAAUUUUACUCAUGCAGCAAAAAAUUGUUUCCAUGACAACACAGAUUAAUUUUGUGAUUUAAGCAAAUUCAAAAAAUGCCUUGUGAUUGUGAUGUGGUUUUGUAGGCACUGUAGGCUAAAUGUUCGAAUCGUUUCAUAAAAAGCUGCCCAAUUCAUUAAGAUAUUUUUAAUAUAUUUGAAAAUGAGCUUAUGGUCUUGAAAUGUAAGUCAUUGCUGUCUCAAAUGUAAGAGACAUGCACUGCCUCAUUUAUUUAUCAACUCUUAGAAAUUUUCUCAUUACUCAUUAUCAUACAAUGGAUUAUGUUAUCAAUGCAAUAAACCAGCUGAGCAUGAAUUCAUGAUCCGAUAAAUAUAGAAAUGAGGUCAAAUUGUUUAUGUGUGCAUAUAUUGUGAACAUGGUAGCAUGUCAAAUUUCAAACGAUUGUGAAAUUUCUUAUUCUGAAACAACAUUGUACUUUCUAACAAGGUAGUUUACGUGUGUAACUUUUUUAUUUAUCUGAACAAUGGUUGAGUCGGUCUAAAUGUCCGUCUGGGAUUUGUAUUUGAGACGGAAUAAUUUUCACUUGAAAAGACCAUUAUUUUUCCCAGGACCCACAAUACAAUAUUUCUCAGAAUUUUCAGCAUGUCCAGUGAAUGCUUCAUUAUGUAUUUUAAGACCUGAAGACAAUUUCCUCAUUAACUCGAAGCAUAUCAAGUGGUCAGCCCCUUUCUGGCAUCAUGAACCUGAAUGUCUCAGUUGUGUAUUGGUACAACACUGAUGGUGUGAUACGUAGUAUUGCUAGUCUAGACACCCAUUAUCCUUCAAUGCAUUCUUUUACAUUGUUUUGUUUUAUCUAUAUAUUUGCGAGUAAGACAUGAGGUAUUGGCACAUAGCAUUGUCAUGUAUAUACCAUAUUCUAUGUAGUAAGCGCCAAGGGUGAUAAUAGUUUUCAAAGUAGUUCAAGAAGACUACCUCUUGCACUUUGUUCCGACUGUCGCUUCUGAUUGCUUCAGGACAAGAUGCUUAUAAGACAGGGGUUGUACCUUCAAGAGUGUAACAGGGCAUUCAAAAGGAUGUCUAGAUGUGCCAUUUGGAAAUCAUCUUCUCGAGGCAAGAGAGUUAAUUGACUGUAAAAGUCCAGUUUCCAUCAUUGCCUUCUGGGCCAGAAUUUCUUGGUUUGAUCGUAGCCACCAGUGGCUAUUACGCUUAUGUCUCUUCUAUGUCCCUCCUUUUGACCAAUCAGAUUCCACCUCUCAUACCAACUGCAUUUGCUUCAAAUAAAAUGGCGGCACCCAGGGGAGACAAUGUGAUCGAUGAUCAAGAUCUAUAUUGUAAUAAAACAGGUCUUACUUCGUGAAGUGCAUCAAAUCACGCUAGCACCUUGGAUUUAAACUUCGAAAAGUUUAUGAUACGCAUUUCUGAAACCUGCAUGGCAGUUUAUGAACAGAAUGUUGAGUUCCUCACGUGAUUUUGUUUGGACUGUGCAUAGAAUCGUAGUUUAGAAAUAUAUGUGACAAAAAGGGCAAACUUCUGAAUUUGGACCUGAUUUCCGUAAAAGGCGACUAAUGGGGUUGGGUGGUCAGGCUCGCUGACUUGGUUGAUGUAUGUCAUCGAUUCCACAUUGCGAGGAUUGAUGCUCAUGAUAUCAAUCACUGGAUUGUCUGGUCCAGAAACGAUUAUUUACAGACCGCCAUCAUAUAGCUGGAAUAUUGCCGAGUGCAGCGUUAAACAACCAACCAACCAACCAACCCUUUCCCAUUUCAAUCAGAUUGAUGAAAAGUCUAUUUUCCAUUUUCCAUUUUCAUGUCCAGGGAGAAAUAACAUUUAUCACUGCUUCAUAUGAUAUAAUUUCUAAAAGUGCCCUUCCAGCAAACAGCACUUAUAGAAGGUAUUUCAGUUUCAAUCAGUGAUAAUUUCUGAGACAUUCUCCAUGUGUUAUAUUGAUAAUUACUUGUUGUUGUUGGGUGUUUUGGGGAGCAGGGCGCUUAAUGCAUAGAAUAGGGUAGAUUGAGUUCAUUGUGUAGAUAUUUCCUUUACCUUCACCAUACACAGUCAUGUUCUGUCUGUAUGUAUUUACUUCAUGCAUUUGUGAGAAUAUGUUCUGCUAUAUUUUGUAUUUAUAUCAUUUGUCAUGGUCUCAUAGUUACAUGUGUAUAUGUAUCAUAUGUAAAAUGUUUUUAAAUAACCUUCUAAAGUGCAUAUGACCCAUCUCAGAUAUUUAAAAUUGUGAAAAUGAUUUGAGCGUGUUGAAAAAUGGUUGAUAAAUGUUGUUAUCUGGGAUUUGAAACUUUUCAUUGUUAUCCCCUGCCCAACAAAGUUGGAUAUAGAAACGGGCUUCAUCCGUCCGUCCGUCACGUUUUGUUUCCGGAGCAUAACUCAGAAACCAUUCAAUAUUUUUUCAUGAAACUUUGCAGUUCUGUCAGGUACAUGCCGAACUGGUGCAAUUUACUAUUUAUAAAUUUUAUUAAUUUUUAUUUUUUACAAUUUCCAUGACAAGUUCCACCUCGGUUAAAAAAGGUUAGGGUUUGUUUAGAUUUAAUUAUGUCAUAAAUUCUGCAACAGGGGCGGGGGAUAUAGCCAUGUAGUGGCAAACUCUUGUUUAUACUCUCUUCGGGGGCUUGGGGCCUAAUCAUCCAAGAUGCCGCAAUUCCUUGAUGAUGUUUCCAGGUUUGUCAGCACCAUACUGUGCUUGAUGGUUUCAGCAAAGAGGAAAGCAUCUGAAACCUGCAUCACUUGGGGAUGUCCUCCCACAUUAAGCUGGGACACUGUGAUAUAACUGGAAGAAAGUUAAAAGUGGUGUAAAACCCAACACACUCGCUCAUACGUUCUUGGGCAGUAUUGUUUCAUUUCUGAGUUCUUAGUUUAAAAAAGGGUCAUCUGACAAAGGAACACGAGUAGUGCUUUCAUUACAUAUUGAAUAGUAUUGUCAGAGCACUUUGGGUUCAGGGGCCAUGGAAGCAAUGACAUCAUCCAUUCUGGCAAGACGUCAUGGUAUUCCUGAGUGACACUUGUUUUAUAACACACAGGAAGAGAGUGCUUAGGAAUAUUACUGCAACCCGUUUGUUUUUAUGAUGUUGAAAAUUAGUUUUUUUGGUGAUUUGGUUUUUUUUUUGAGUGUUUGAGGUGCGGAAAGCUUAACACUGGUUCUUAUGAAAAUUCAGGCAUGAAAUACUCAAUAAAACAUGUCGUUUUUCUCCUUAACAUUUAUUCUAUGGAAGUGACAAUGUUUGUAUCCUAAAUGUUAGACCAGAUGGAAGUCACAAUGUUUUCCCCUGUAAAUGUUGGACCAAAUGGAAGUGACAAUGUUUUCCCCAGUAAGUGUUGGACCAAAUGGAAGUAGCAAUGUUUUAUCAAUCUCUUUUUCUCAGUGGAUGUGAUGAUGUUUAUUGUCCUAAAUGUUUGACCAAAGGGAAGUGAAAAUGGUUUUCCUCCUAAAUGUUUGACCAAAGGGAAGUGAAAAUGGUUUUCCUCCUAAAUGUUUGACCCAGAGGAAGUGACAAUGUUUUUCUCCUAAAUGUUUGACCCAGAGGACGUGACAAUGUUUUCCUCCUAAAUGUUUUUGACCCAGAGGAAGUGACAAUGUUUUUCCUCCUAAAUGUUUUUGACCCAAUUGAAGUGAAAAUGGUUUUCCCCCUAAAUGUUUGACCCAAUGGAAGUGAAAAUGGUUUUCCUCCUAAAUGUUUGACCCAAUGGAAGUGACAAUGUUUUCCUCCUAAAUGUUUUUGACCCAGAGGAAGUGACAAUGUUUUUCUCCUAAAUGUUUGACCCAAUGGAGGUGACAUCUGGUGUUGCAUGUGCAGAAUUCUGUUACAUCACAACUCAAAAAGGACAAGUCCUUGAAUUCUUUGCAACAAAACAGAAUGAACUGCAGCAUGCUAUGGUUGUUAGAGGAGAGUAGUAAGAGGAUCUAUUGUACAGAUUGCUGAUGUGGCCCGGUGGACAAGGUUCCCUACCUGGAUUUGUUGGUCAUGAGUCUAAAUCCGCGUCUUAACCAGGUUAUCAUCCUCGGUUUGUCCCCUCCGUUACAUGUUUGUGUCGUUUUUUUCUUGGUGAGGAAUGUCACCUGUGUCAUUUGAGAUAGGUAACUGAAAUACUGUCCAAAACAAUGUAAAUCAUGCCACACUAUCCAGGUGAGCUUUUGUGUGAGUUUGAACAGUAGGCCAGUUAUAUCAUGUUGCAUCAUGUUAUAGGGAGAAACUCCUGAAGGGAUGCAGAUAGUAGGUGAUUGGAGAUUAGCAGAUCCUGGUGUGGUUUAGGGAGACAACCCUGGCACAGCAAAUGCAGUACCUUUGAUGACAAAAUGUGUACUGAUCUGUAUGUAACAACUAUUGUCAGACAGAUGUGAUGCUACUUCUAAACAAUUCUUCAGUCACAUUUUCAUCACAGUUAAUGAAAUGGAUGUAUAACCUGUUCGUGAUUGAUUACUGACAUCAUUGUGUGAUUUUCAGACUGAAUACAAAGCAUGUUUUGUUGUUGAUAUAAAUCUACUACCAUGGUUGCCAUGGUGUUUGUUCGUGAAAUAGUUACAAGUUUGUUUAGUGUUAUUUAUAAGGCUGUCAUUGUACAUAAGGGACACAUUAUGAAAUAUUUAAGAUAAGUCUUAUCGGAAGUAACUUAUUUGUUGAAAGUUCAAGAUCAGUUUGACAUUUUGCUCAAGGUAGUGGUGUAUUACAGUGGUAGAAAAGUUUUACCCAUAUACUAUGUAAGGAGAAUCAGAACAUUUUUUGUUACUGGUUUAAUUUGAGGCAUUUGGAGGCUUUUCACCCUGAAGACAAGGACUUCAAAACUUCAAUAUGAUGUUAUGUACAGUAGCAAAUGGUUUCAUCAAGUAUGUGAACUGCACAUCUACCAAGACAUCGCAUUGACAGAAUAUAGAAGUUGAAAUUCAUAAAUCAACCCAGUCUCCAUUGUUGAUAAUUGAUAAUGAAAUAGGAAUUAAUUACACUUUGUUGCCAGGUGAAGUAACGUGACAAGUAUAUGGUAAUUAGGAACAUCUUAGCAGUCCCCAUAUACCAGGGUCAGAUUCAGGGUGUUUCAAAUGGAGUCCGCAUUUCGGAUCUUAGUAGUCCACACACAGGGUCACAGAUAGACAUUGGGUUCCAAAUUAAAGGGAUCCACAAUGGAUUUUUAGCACUGUAUCUAGCUAACACGAUCUUCUGUGUUGGAGGCUUUUUAUUGUUCAGGUUAUGAAUUAAUCACAUCUAAGCUGAAACAAAAGCCACAUUCAUAAAAAGGUAGCUUUGUCUUUAACGGUGCCACAAAAAUCAAAAUAACUUUCCUUUUCAAAUUAUGUAUUAGUGUGUUGUGUAUAUAUAUAGUCUGUGGUAACCUACCAUGAACAACCUUCGCAGACACUGGUAAGAUAAAAAAAACAACUUCCUGCACAAUAAACAAAAUUGCCUUUCCCCCGCGAAACAGACCAAAUUUAUGCCAAAAUGUAUAAAAGAAAUGUUACACAAAUGUUUUUAUUUCGAAUCGACCCAAGCUUAAAAUUGAAUGUGUGGCUUUGGUAUUAGCUGCUAAAGCAAAGCAAUGUGUGGGAUGACCUGCCACUCUGCACCAAAUGGUUGUCGGACAUUCACAAUUUGCACCAGCCGUUUUGUGUGACACGUUUCUUAGCAGGAAGAGAAGUAGUUGCGUGGGUGACGGUGUGAUAGAUUUCUGUAAACUGGUUUUGUUGGUGUUUAUAUUAAGUACAGUUUGCAGCUCUAUUUUUGGAAAUAAAAUGAUCUUAUCUUAA
RNAcentral lists this unclassified non-coding RNA (12932 nucleotides) under Haliotis rufescens (red abalone). RNAcentral's name for it is "large neutral amino acids transporter small subunit 1-like, transcript variant X3". Lineage: Eukaryota; Metazoa; Mollusca; Gastropoda; Lepetellida; Haliotidae. The record is from RNAcentral.